Molecule: ribosomal RNA, 407 nt
Filed under: uncultured bacterium
Lineage: Bacteria
Description: partial 16S ribosomal RNA
Rfam family: Bacterial small subunit ribosomal RNA
Source: RNAcentral
AAUCUUCCGCAAUGGACGAAAGUCUGACGGAGCAACGCCGCGUGAGUGAUGAAGGUUUUCGGAUCGUAAAGCUCUGUCCUUGGGGAAGAAGGUCUUCGGACUUGACGGUACCCAUGGAGGAAGCCCCGGCUAACUACGUGCCAGCAGCCGCGGUAAUACGUAGGGGGCAAGCGUUGUCCGGAAUUAUUGGGCGUAAAGGGUGCGUAGGCGGCCUUUUAAGUCAGAUGUGAAAGCCCACGGCUCAACCGUGGGAUUGCAUUUGAAACUGGAGGGCUUGAGUAUCGGAGAGGGUAGUGGAAUUCCCAGUGUAGCGGUGAAAUGCGUAGAUAUUGGGAGGAACACCAGUGGCGAAGGCGACUACCUGGACGAUUACUGACGCUGAUGCACGAAAGCUAGGGGAGCAAACA